RNAcentral lists this transfer RNA (69 nucleotides) under Marmota monax (woodchuck). RNAcentral describes it as "tRNA.Ser". The record is from RNAcentral. Lineage: Eukaryota; Metazoa; Chordata; Mammalia; Rodentia; Sciuridae.
GGGCUGAGCUCAGCGGUAGAGCACUUGCCUAGAACGUGCAAGACCCUGGGUUCAAUCCUCAGCACCACA